RNAcentral lists this ribosomal RNA (468 nucleotides) under uncultured bacterium. RNAcentral describes it as "partial 16S ribosomal RNA". It matches the Rfam family "Bacterial small subunit ribosomal RNA", at positions 28 to 507 of the family's 1533-position model. The record is from RNAcentral.
GACGAACGCUGGCGGCGUGCUUAACACAUGCAAGUCGAACGGACAGACGCUGCUUUUGUGGGUUUCUCGAUUGGCGAACGCGUGAGUAACACGUGAGUAACCUCCCCUUGACUGUCGGGUAACUUCACGGAACUCGGGCUCAUACCGGAUAUGAUCUCCUGCUCCAUGGUGUGGGUUGGUGAGUGUCGGCGGUUCGGGCUGGACUGGCGGGUUACCAGCUUGUUGGGGGAGUAGUGGCUGUCAAAGGCUUUGACGGGUAGGCGGCCUGGGAGGGUGACCGGGCACAUUGCGACUGAGGUACGGACCAGACUCGUACGGGAGGCAGCAGUGGGGAAUAUUGCGCAAUGGGGGGAAGUGUGAUGCAGCAGCGUCGCGUGCGGGAUGCCGGCUUUCGGGGUGUAAACCGAUGUGGCAGGUGCCGAAGAGUGAGUGACGGUAAUGGGUAAAGAAGCAACGGCUAACUACGUG